RNAcentral lists this ribosomal RNA (253 nucleotides) under uncultured bacterium. RNAcentral's name for it is "partial 16S ribosomal RNA". It matches the Rfam family "Bacterial small subunit ribosomal RNA", at positions 524 to 776 of the family's 1533-position model. The record is from RNAcentral.
UACGUAGGGUGCGAGCGUUAAUCGGAAUUACUGGGCGUAAAGCGUGCGCAGGCGGUUUUGCAAGACAGAUGUGAAAUCCCCGGGCUUAACCUGGGAAUUGCAUUUGUGACUGCACGGCUAGAGUGUGUCAGAGGGGGGUAGAAUUCCACGUGUAGCAGUGAAAUGCGUAGAUAUGUGGAGGAAUACCGAUGGCGAAGGCAGCCCCCUGGGAUAACACUGACGCUCAUGCACGAAAGCGUGGGGAGCAAACAGG